AGUGAACGCUGGCGGUAGGCCUAACACAUGCAAGUCGAACGGCAGCACAGUAAGAGCUUGCUCUUACGGGUGGCGAGUGGCGGACGGGUGAGGAAUACAUCGGAAUCUACUUUUUCGUGGGGGAUAACGUAGGGAAACUUACGCUAAUACCUCAUACGACCUGCGGGUGAAAGCAGGGGAUCUUCGGACCUUGCGCGAUUGAAUGAGCCGAUGUCGGAUUAGCUAGUUGGCGGGGUAAAGGCCCACCAAGGCGACGAUCCGUAGCUGGUCUGAGAGGAUGAUCAGCCACACUGGAACUGAGACACGGUCCAGACUCCUACGGGAGGCAGCAGUGGGGAAUAUUGGACAAUGGGCGCAAGCCUGAUCCAGCCAUACCGCGUGGGUGAAGAAGGCCUUCGGGUUGUAAAGCCCUUUUGUUGGGAAAGAAAAGCAGCAGGUUAAUACCCCGCUGUUCUGACGGUACCCAAAGAAUAAGCACCGGCUAACUUCGUG
RNAcentral lists this ribosomal RNA (492 nucleotides) under uncultured bacterium. RNAcentral describes it as "partial 16S ribosomal RNA". It matches the Rfam family "Bacterial small subunit ribosomal RNA", at positions 29 to 507 of the family's 1533-position model. The record is from RNAcentral.